This 487-nucleotide ribosomal RNA is filed under the name uncultured bacterium. RNAcentral's name for it is "bacterial SSU rRNA". It matches the Rfam family "Bacterial small subunit ribosomal RNA", at positions 28 to 511 of the family's 1533-position model. The record is from RNAcentral.
GAUGAACGCUAGCGGCAGGCUUAAUACAUGCAAGUCGUGGGGCAGCAUGAGUAGCAAUACUUGAUGGCGACCGGCAAACGGGUGAGGAACACGUACACAACCUUCCUUCAAGCGGGGAAUAGCCCAGAGAAAUUUGGAUUAAUACCCCAUAAUAUAUUUGAUAAGGCAUCUUAUUAAUAUUAAAGCUUCGGCACUUGAUGAUGGGUGUGCGGCUGAUUAGAUAGUUGGCGGGUAACGGCCCACCAAGUCUACGAUCAGUAGCUGAUGUGAGAGCAUGAUCAGCCACACGGGCACUGAGACACGGGCCCGACUCCUACGGGAGGCAGCAGUAAGGAAUAUUGGACAAUGGACGAAAGUCUGAUCCAGCCAUGCCGCGUGAAGGAUUAAGGUCCUCUGGAUGUAAACUUCUUUAUAUGGGACGAAAAAGGGCAUUACUUGUUACACUUGACGGUACCAUAUGAAUAAGCACCGGCUAACUCCGUGCCAG